CCUACGGGAGGCAGCAGUGAGGAAUAUUGGUCAAUGGACGAGAGUCUGAACCAGCCAAGUAGCGUGAAGGAUGACUGCCCUAUGGGUUGUAAACUUCUUUUAUAAAGGAAGAAAACAAGGCACGUGUGCCUUUUUGCAUGUACUUUAUGAAUAAGGAUCGGCUAACUCCGUGCCAGCAGCCGCGGUAAUACGGAGGAUCCGAGCGUUAUCCGGAUUUAUUGGGUGUAAAGGGAGCGUAGAUGGGUUGUUAAGUCAGUUUUGAAAGUUGGCGGCUCAACCGUAAAAUUGCAAUUGAUACUGGCAGUCUUGAGUACAGUUGUGGUAGGCGGAAUUCGUGGUGUAGCUGUUAUAUGCUUAUAUCUCAC
Molecule: ribosomal RNA, 365 nt
Filed under: uncultured bacterium
Lineage: Bacteria
Description: partial 16S ribosomal RNA
Rfam family: Bacterial small subunit ribosomal RNA
Source: RNAcentral